CCGAGGCGGGGCCGGGAGCCGGGGCUGUCGGGGCGGCGGGGGAGCUUGGCUUCUCCCGCCCGGUGGGGAAAUAUCAGCCGGACGGGGCCGGUCCCUCAGGCCUGGCGCCCACAUGAACCCGCCUCUAGCGUGAACCAGUCUCCAGCUGUCCCGGCGCGCGGCCAUCCUAGCGGAGGGCGUGGUCCUGGACGGCGGGGGCUGCAGGGUCCGGACGUUCCCAUCGUGCGUGUCCUGAACGCGGGCGCCCGGGGACGAGUCUCGUCCAGCUCCGUCCUGACCCAGGAGACCCGGGCACCCGGCUGGGAGUUUGCAGCGCCCGGGGGCGGCCAGGGUCUCGGGAAACGUAGCGCCCCGCGCGGAUCUCCGCUCCGAUGCAAGCGCCCGGCGAGCAGAUGCUUCGGGGCCGUCACCGGGGGGCCGGCUGGACGCGCGGCCGUCACCGUGGCCGUUGUCAUCAUCGUGGUUGUGGCCAUGGUCGCUGUCGCUGAAGAAACGCGGGGCGACCUCUCCCCAUUCCCGUGCGGUUCUUAGGGCUGAACCGUUGGGCGCGCAUUUGCAGAAAAGCCAGCUCCUGAGUCUCAAGACAGACUCCGAGGCCAGGCGUGUGUGGAGCCUGGUCCCUGCUGCCGGCCUCGCAGGCCGAGCCAACUCGGAGCCCCGCACCCACCCGCAGGGAGCUGCCCUCGCCCAGGACCCUCUUGGCCCACGCGGGCCUCACCCCUCAGAGGCACCUCGAAAGGUACUGCGCUUGUCACAUAGCUUCCUGCAAACAAGAGAAGCCCACCAAGCCAUGCACAGCUGGAAAAUGGCCCUUAUAAAGCCAUCAAGUCCUAAUCCAGGCAACCUAUAA
Molecule: long non-coding RNA, 850 nt
Filed under: Piliocolobus tephrosceles (Ugandan red Colobus)
Lineage: Eukaryota; Metazoa; Chordata; Mammalia; Primates; Cercopithecidae
Description: lncRNA (ENSPTEG00000028295.1)
Source: RNAcentral